GUGAAUCAUCGAAUUUUUGAACGCAAAUUGCACUCUCCUCGGAGAGUAUGCCUGUUUGAGGGUCAGCCUAUAAAAAAUCGAAAUCGUUGCUGUUUCGCGGUGGCGUUCGUCGGACAUUGGGUCAUCUUAAAUCUUUUGGUGUUAAGCGAAUUAAAAUUUUCUUUUUGGUUCCAUGAACGUUUCUAAGAUUUAUUUCUUUACACGUUUAAGGUAUCGAUUUUUAUUAGAUGUGACUAUCAUACCGCAUCGCGCCUAUAUUAUU
RNAcentral lists this unclassified non-coding RNA (262 nucleotides) under Glomeraceae sp. Its description in RNAcentral is "partial contains 5.8S ribosomal RNA and internal transcribed spacer 2". The stretch from base 1 to 65 matches the Rfam family "5.8S ribosomal RNA", at positions 84 to 154 of the family's 154-position model. Lineage: Eukaryota; Fungi; Glomeromycota; Glomeromycetes; Glomerales; Glomeraceae. The record is from RNAcentral.